Molecule: ribosomal RNA, 497 nt
Filed under: uncultured bacterium
Lineage: Bacteria
Description: partial 16S ribosomal RNA
Rfam family: Bacterial small subunit ribosomal RNA
Source: RNAcentral
GAUGAACGCUGGCGGCGUGCCUAAUACAUGCAAGUCGAGCGAACAGACGAGGAGCUUGCUCCUCUGACGUUAGCGGCGGACGGGUGAGUAACACGUGGAUAACCUACCUAUAAGACUGGGAUAACUUCGGGAAACCGGAGCUAAUACCGGAUAAUAUAUUGAACCGCAUGGUUCAAUAGUGAAAGACGGUUUUGCUGUCACUUAUAGAUGGAUCCGCGCCGCAUUAGCUAGUUGGUAAGGUAACGGCUUACCAAGGCAACGAUGCGUAGCCGACUUGAGAGGGUGAUCGGCCACACUGGAACUGAGACACGGUCCAGACUCCUACGGGAGGCAGCAGUAGGGAAUCUUCCGCAAUGGGCGAAAGCUUGACGGAGCAACGCCGCGUGAGUGAUGAAGGUCUUCGGAUCGUAAAAUUCUGUUAUUAGGGAAGAACAAAUGUGUAAGUAACUAUGCACGUCUUGACGGUACCUAAUCAGAAAGCCACGGCUAACUACGUG